Molecule: ribosomal RNA, 428 nt
Filed under: uncultured bacterium
Lineage: Bacteria
Description: bacterial SSU rRNA
Rfam family: Bacterial small subunit ribosomal RNA
Source: RNAcentral
GACGAACGCUGGCGGCGUGCCUAACACAUGCAAGUCGAACGGGAUCCAUGGAGUGCUUGCACUCCGGAAGAUCUAGUGGCGAACGGGUGAGUAACACGUGAGAAACCUGCCCCAGACUCUGGGAUAACCUCGGGAAACCGAAGCUAAUACCGGAUAUUCUCCUUUGGUCGCAUGGCCAGUUGAGGAAAGUUUUUCGGUCUGGGAGGGUCUCGCGGCCUAUCAGCUAGUUGGUGGGGUAACGGCCCACCAAGGCUACGACGGGUAGCUGGUUUGAGAGAACGAUCAGCCACACUGGAACUGAGACACGGUCCAGACUCCUACGGGAGGCAGCAGUGGGGAAUCUUGCGCAAUGGGCGAAAGCCUGACGCAGCAACGCCGCGUGCGGGAUGAAGGCCUCGGUUGUAACCGACGUUCUAGCAGGACGGAAA